RNAcentral lists this ribosomal RNA (310 nucleotides) under uncultured bacterium. RNAcentral's name for it is "bacterial SSU rRNA". It matches the Rfam family "Bacterial small subunit ribosomal RNA", at positions 32 to 332 of the family's 1533-position model. The record is from RNAcentral.
AAUCAACGCUGGCGGCGUGCCUCAGACAUGCAAGUCGAACGAUUAAAGCUCUCUUCGGAGAGUGCAUAGAGUGGCGCACGGGUGAGUAACACGUAAGUAAUCUACCUUCGAGUGGGGAAUAACGUCCGGAAACGGACGCUAAUACCGCAUAAUGCAGCGGCAUCGCAAGAUGACAGUUGUUAAAGGAGCAAUUCGCUUGAAGAGGAGCUUGCGGCAGAUUAGCUUGUUGGUAAGGUAACGGCUUACCAAGGCUACGAUCUGUAACCGGUCUAAGAGGACGGUCGGUCACACUGACACUGAAUAACGGGUC